GGAUUAACAAUCAUCAAUAUUGAUUAUAGAAUAGAAUAUGAGAUUGAGUAUCUAUCAUUGCAUGUAUAAUUGAGAACAUUUAUCUAACGCUUUCAUACAGGGGUAAGUGUCACAUAAAAGAUAUAUGAAGUAAUGAAUAGUGACAAAGAUAAUUGAUCUGAUCAGCAUAACUUAGCCACAUAUAAAUAUGAUAAGCACCUUAAUUAGAUAUUCUAGAAAGUCAUUAGCAUGGUAUUAGAACGAACUACAAGAAUAUUUCCUAAGUUAUUCUCAACUAUAUAGUCUAGCAUUAUCAUAGUUAGUGCAAGCAUACUUAGCAAUCAUUGCGAGACAGGACUACGCUCAUGCAUAGUGAUAUUAUCAAGGUAAAUGAGAAACAUAGUAACAAUAUUGCUCUGCCAGCCCAAUACACGAGAGGGGGACUAUAUAAGAAUCAAUGAAGCUGUCACUAUCACGAACUACCCCGCGAUCCGGCAUAUUGGGUACAAUCGUAGAUAAAUACGGUAUAAGCACCACGCCUACACAAUAUCUAUCAUUUACCCAUGGAUCCGAUGGAUAAACGCUAUACGAUCCUAAACAUGUAUAUAGAUCCAAUCUAACUAAGCCAAGUAUAUAACUAUGAUAAACUAAGAACAAUAUAAUCUUGAAUAUAAACAAGUAGAGCAAAGUCAUAAGCAAUAUAUUGAAGUAGAACAAAGUCAUAUUCAUAAUAUUGAAGAACAAAGAUGAUUUGAAGAACAAUUAGAAGCACAAUUAGAGAAUUACCAAGAAUCCUCUUGACAGAUCUGGAAACCAAUCGAAGAUUGACUCCUUCUAGUUCUAAUCCUAUGUAGCUAUGCUAAUCUAGAUGUCUAAUUGAUGUGGUGGCUCUAGGCUUGAUCAGGGGCUUCUUCUCCCUUGAGGAAUAAUGAAUUAGGGUUGAGAGGCUCUCUCCUCCAGGGGCCAGGGGGUAUGGUUUUAUAGUCCCUUCAAGUGAAUAUGGGCCGUUGGAUCAAACCGACAUUGAUUGAACGGUUAUCCUUGAUCCUUUAGGUCGGUGGAGAUCUUUCCCGAAAGAGUGUCCUAAUUGGAGUCCAACAGGGGGCGGGCGCCCAGUGCCUGGCCCCGUUCGGCAUCCGCUUCCUUCCCGUGGCUUCUGGAGUCUUCUAGAUAUAAGAUAAUUGCACGACAUGUUAAUAUCUCUAUGUAAUCCCGACGUGUGGGCCUUUCUUCCGUAUUUCCUGAUAACCCCCUGCAGAAAUAGACAAACACCAAAACUCGUGGAAUUUUGUCAGAUAAAACCCUAAGUCUAGAUGUUGAUUUCAUUUGGAUCCUUUUCUUUGUUUAUUUGAUAAUUAAAUUUGAUACUUAAGGACCGUCAACAAACUCCCCCAAGCUUACCUCUUGCUCGUCCCUGAGCAAGGAUAGAUUAGAAGUUGCUGCAAUACUUUUAAAAAUUGACGGUACACAUGCUUUUAAAUAAGGUCUCAUCUCUGAGUUAGAGUAAACUGUCAAGACUUAAAACUUAUUCAUUUUACCUUUCACCAUGGGAUUUGUAACCGUCACUUCUGUCUUGAGUAGUUAAAAGAUAGAAUAGUCUAGCCAAGUGCCAUGUCUCUUAUUCUUGAUCAGCUAUAGCUCUGGAGUUUUUGCAGAUUUUCAAAUAAAACUCAGAAAUUCCUUGUAUGACUCUCUCAAAUCUCUCUUUUGUGGUAUUUCUGGAUCCUUACCAAGGCAGUGAUGGUAUAUGCCUUCUCUCAAGAUAUGUGGUAUUUAUGGUAUAAAGCAUAGUGACAUUGUCCUCUCUCUCACCCUACUCUAAUAAGGCUUUAAUAUCUAGAGCUCAUAGGUGGGAGAUAAAGUAUACAUACUUACAAGACAUUUAUUGUAUAGUCAAACCAUGGAUCCAAAGAAACAAAUCAAUAAGUCAAAUCAAGAUGUGCAUGUGUGGCGAAAUGAAUGGUGUAUGGUGAUGAUGGUGAUAACAAUGGUGAAAGCCUAAUUCUACUUUUGCUCUUUUGAGGGGAUACAUACCUUCCUUGCUUUUAAAAUUUUGUGAGGAGAAUGAGAUGCUGUUCUUUUUUCUUUUUCUUUCCUCUCAGGUGGGUAUCUUGUACCCCUAAUUCUACUGUCGGACACUUGUCCAUUUUUACCUCUCGUCUUAUUUUUUCUUUUCUUUUCAUUCGAGGUUCCGGGCACUUGCCCCUUUUUAUUUCCUCGUUUUUUUCUCUUUUUCUUUUUUUAUUAGAGCACUCAUCUCUUGAGAUAAUAUAGCAAGUGGUAGUAACAAGAUAACUCGAGCAUUUAUUUGACAAGGGAAACCAGAAAUAUUUUUGGGUAUUCUCUCCCGGAUUAGGAGCAGAAUAUUUUUGGGUGGUUCUGGAGAUGGAAAUAGGUGGAUAUAUGUGGAUAGUACUUCCGGAGUAGAAGUAGCAUGUAUGAAUGAACGUGCAAAUGAAUCUUGAUUUAACCACAUGACAAGCUUCUAGGGGUCCACACAGCUUGACCACACUCAAUGCUCAUAAGUAGUAGAAGUAAAUGUGUGGCUCAAAAUCUAACAAGCAUGUAUAUAUGGCUGUGGUAGGAAUUUAAACUCUCAUCAUACAGGAACUCAUCAUGCAUUAUUUUAAAGAUUUUAAAAGAUAAAAUUCUCCAGAAUUUCUAGCAUCUCUAGGAAUAGAUAAACAGCAGCUCAACCUUCCCAUAUCGUAUCCGUUAACAACUUAGACUUCAGAUCAAGUUUUCAUCCCACAAGUUUAGGUUUAGAGCAAGCUUUAAAUUAUAACAGUUAUAUCUAAACUAGUGAGAGAACUUCAAAUUUGCAAAUCAGGCACAACAACUAUUCAUCAUAUCCAUGCUAGAGUUUUAUUUAUUACCGCUAGAGUUUUAUUUAUUAGAAUCCAGUUUAGCAUAGCCACUUUAUUUAUUUAUUAAACACACUAAGCAAAAGACAUAUAUUUAUAUAUAAGCACAAAAUCUUUAUUUGGGUUUUCAUAGUUAUGUAUAUUUAUAUUUUAAUAUAGUAUAAGAUAGAUAUAAAUACUUAUCAGGAUAAAUGGGGGUGCUCUCCUCCAAGCUGAAUUUUGACGUAAUUUCUCUUGACGUAGCUAGCAGGUGGCAGAGGUGUAUUUGAAAGUCAGCAGUAUCUUGAUAGCAAUUAGAAUGUCCUCCGUCUGCUAGUCUUCUUGAUUCUUAAAUUCUUCUCGAAUAGACAACAAGGCUUGUGGAACUGAUUAAGUGUUAGCAUAAAUAUCUAGCCUUCAUCAUGUUGAGACUCCUCAAUAAAUGUUACUCCCUGUUUUUUUUUAUAUUUUUAUUUUAUAAAGCUGAAAAAAAAUAUUUAUUUUAUUUUUAUGCCACCACAGUGAAUGUACUUAUGGGUUUCAUGCCACUCGUAUAGUCACAUGGGGCUUACUAUUUUUUUAACAGUAUUUGAAAUAAUUGAAAGGGAAAGGAUAACUACCAAGUUUACCUCUUGGCAAGGCGUUCGGUGUUUUUAAGUCCUCUGAACGGGACUCUCCAUUUUCUCAUUCGUUCUGGGAUUCGUUGGAUGGCGGAGUCGGUUCUUCCGGCGGCGCCUCUUCUUCAUGUAUGGUUAUCUUUUCUCUCCACACCUGACUCGGUGCUACGGUCUCCUCAGGAUAGUCUGUUUAAACUGUAUGUCUUCUGACCUUACAACUUCUCCUUCAUAGUCUGCCCAUCCGUCCUUGAUGAUCUACCUCCUCUGGUUGCGGUUGCGUCGCUUUCUAACCUGCUUAGAUUCUUCAACGAUAUAUUUAGGGUCAGUAAAAUAGUGGCGUACCUUCUCUGAGAGGAUGUGCAUAUGGACUUCUCCAGUUCCAAUGUAGAUGAUUGCUUUAACGGUGCUGAGGAAUGGUCUUCCAAGGAUGAUGGGUGGAUCGUAUUCGUCUUCUCCCAUGUCAAUAACCUGAAAGUCUGUGUAGACAAAAUGAUCGUCUAUUUUGACAGGGACAUCAGUUACUGUUCCUUUAACUACUCAAAACGUCUGAUCUGCCAUCUGGAGCUGAAUGUAUGUUGGUUUUAAGGGCAUGGUUCCGAACAAGAGCCGAUAGGUGACUGCGGCCAUUAUGUUGACGCCCGAUCCGGUGUGGCAAGUCGUCUUGUAGAAGUUGUAUCCAUUUAUGGAGCAAUAGAUGCUUGGCAUUCCUGGGUCGUCCUUCUUUGUCAAAAACGGUGACUUAAGUUGAUGAUCUUGACCUCCAUGAACUGCAGUGACCAUCUUAGCUGACUCGGUCCACACUUGCUUGUUCCUGUUCCUCCUGUUGGUCCUCUUCCUUGGUUCAUGUCUGGAUUGUUCUGGGAUUUGUGUAGUCUUGUUCUUGAAGGAAAACGUCUCCUUUCUCCCUUUGAUGUAGAAACUGAUCUUGGCAGCACUAGCGUAGAUGACAGCUCCCGAGGUGUUGAAGAAUGGCCUCCCUAAGAUGAUGGGUGCUCUCUCAUCAUUACCGGUCUCUAUCACCACGAAGUCUGCUAGGGCAUACAAGGUACCAACUCGGACACAAAGGUUCUACAAUAUUCCUUUUGGAAAACUUAUCGUCUAAUCUGCAAACUGCAAACACAUGGUUGUUUCUAAUAAAGGAUAUGUAAAGAAUUUUUCAUAGAGUACCCUGGGUAUAAUGUUGACGCUGGAGCCAA
Molecule: long non-coding RNA, 4635 nt
Filed under: Sorghum bicolor (sorghum)
Lineage: Eukaryota; Viridiplantae; Streptophyta; Magnoliopsida; Poales; Poaceae
Description: long non-coding RNA (SBIC_LNC002350)
Source: RNAcentral